Cinara cedri is the source of this 1239-nucleotide non-coding RNA. Lineage: Eukaryota; Metazoa; Arthropoda; Insecta; Hemiptera; Aphididae. The record is from the annotation of a GenBank genome assembly.
GCACCUUUAUACUCAUUUCACCGCACAAUAGGAAUAAUUGUAAAAAAAACAAAAACAAAAACCUUAGAAACGAAACGAAUAUUUUUUUGUAGAAUAACUUUUAAUAUAAAUUGCAUGAUUUUAUACACGGGUUUUUUUCUCAUCCGUGAAUUUUAAAACGUUCGACCUAUAGAGCUUUUCGUUAACGAAUCGCAUUAUCCCUCGAAAAAUUUAACGCUCCGAGUUUAAGAGAUUUGGGUGUAUAUAGAGGUAAGACAGUUGAUGAGCGUGUCGGUAUAGAAGUGGACUUUUUUCCCCUAUAAUAAUGUUUAACGGGCAAUAUUUUAAAAAUUUAACUACCUCGGGAAAGUAAUGGUAAUUUAUAUUAUUUUCAGAAAAAUAUGACGCGUACUGUCAGAGUUUAUGGUACAUAAUAUUAUGGUACAUCGAACAUCGUUUGUUUCUACAAUAAAACGUUUGUUGUUUUUUUUUUAAUUUGAUCCUGGCCUAGAAAGUCAAUUUGCCCUCUAAAAAUAACUAUUGGUUAUAAAAACGAAAUAAAGGUAUUCCUGGCGUUGGGCUAAAGAUUUCAAGUCCACGGUAAUAUAAAAAGGCUUCAAAAGAUUGUCCCGCUACUUCUAUAAUAUUGAUAUUGUAAAACAUUUUUUUUUUUUUUUUUUGUUCCUAUAAGAACCGCGUAUUAUUUUUAAGCGUAAUAUCAGAUUUGGCUUAAACUUUUACAGCGAAAUCAGUCAACAAUCCAUAAAGUCACCUAUAUAUAGGUAGAAGGUACUUAAGAUUUUAUGACAUUCAACAUUUUUUUUUUUUUUAAUCCUAACAGUUAGUUAUACCUACACAGUUAUUCAAAGGUUUUCCGGUGGUUUUUUAUUAAAUUUGUUCAGUUUUUCUUCCACUGUAUACAGCGAUCGUGUUUUCUUCGUUUAACCACUUGAUGUGAAACGACGGGUUCCCGGUACACCGUAGCGCAAAAUUUAAUAACAAUGUGUACAGCUGCCGUGCGCGAAAAGGGACUGGAAAGUUGUUGAAUAUACUAUACUAUAUAAAUAUACAUAGAUAGCCUUGAGUAUUAUAACGUAUCUAUACCUCUCCUAAGUUUAGUCGAACAAUAUGUAUUAGUUAUUGUUAUUAUUAAUCACGCGGUACACAUUAACUAUACCUACGCUAAAACUUCGGUUGGCCGGUUACAAAUAAUUGAGGCUUGUAUAAUAAUGUUAGGUUGGGUUCGUGUAUAGAACUAAC